This 198-nucleotide ribosomal RNA is filed under the name uncultured bacterium. RNAcentral describes it as "partial 16S ribosomal RNA". It matches the Rfam family "Bacterial small subunit ribosomal RNA", at positions 328 to 539 of the family's 1533-position model. The record is from RNAcentral.
ACGCUCGACACCUACGGGAGGCNGCAGUGGGGAAUAUUGCACAAUGGGGGAAACCCUGAUGCAGCGACGCCGCGUGAGCGAAGAAGUAUUUCGGUAUGUAAAGCUCUAUCAGCAGGGAAGAAACUGACGGUACCUGACUAAGAAGCACCGGCUAAAUACGUACCAGCAGCCGCGGUAAUCUGAGCGGGCUGGCAAGGC